GCCCGAGUGUCGGAACUGGCAGACGAGGCGGUCUCAAAAACCGUUGGCUUUCCAGCCGUGUGAGUUCGAGUCUCACCUCGGGCACCA
Molecule: transfer RNA, 87 nt
Filed under: Clostridia bacterium
Lineage: Bacteria; Bacillati; Bacillota; Clostridia
Description: tRNA-Leu
Rfam family: tRNA
About the family: Transfer RNA (tRNA) molecules are approximately 80 nucleotides in length. Their secondary structure includes four short double-helical elements and three loops (D, anti-codon, and T loops).
Source: RNAcentral